RNAcentral lists this ribosomal RNA (253 nucleotides) under uncultured bacterium. Its description in RNAcentral is "partial 16S ribosomal RNA". It matches the Rfam family "Bacterial small subunit ribosomal RNA", at positions 524 to 776 of the family's 1533-position model. The record is from RNAcentral.
UACGUAGGGGGCAAGCGUUGUCCGGAAUUAUUGGGCGUAAAGAGCUCGUAGGCGGCUCGGUAAGUCAGGUGUCAAAUCCUCAGGCUCAACCUGGGGCUCCACCUGAUACUGCUGUGGCUAGAGUCCGGUAGGGGAGCGUGGAAUUCCUGGUGUAGCGGUGAAAUGCGCAGAUAUCAGGAGGAACACCAGCGGCGAAGGCGGCGCUCUGGGCCGGAACUGACGCUGAGGAGCGAAAGCGUGGGUAGCAAACAGG